CCUACGGGCGGCAGCAGUGGGGAAUAUUGGACAAUGGGCGAAAGCCUGAUCCAGCCAUGCCGCGUGUGUGAAGAAGGCCUUCGGGUUGUAAAGCACUUUCAGUGGGGAAGAAAGCCUUGGGGCUAAUACCCUCGAGGAAGGACAUCACCCACAGAAGAAGCACCGGCUAACUCCGUGCCAGCAGCCGCGGUAAUACGGAGGGUGCGAGCGUUAAUCGGAAUUACUGGGCGUAAAGCGUGCGUAGGCGGUCUGAUAAGCCGGUUGUGAAAGCCCCGGGCUCAACCUGGGAACGGCAUCCGGAACUGUCAGGCUAGAGUGCAGGAGAGGAAGGUAGAAUUCCCGGUGUAGCGGUGAAAUGCGUAGAGAUCGGGAGGAAUACCAGUGGCGAAGGCGGCCUUCUGGACUGACACUGACGCUGAGGUGCGAAAGCGUGGGUAGCAAACAGGAUUAGAUACCCCUGUAGUC
This 465-nucleotide ribosomal RNA is filed under the name Vreelandella stevensii. Its description in RNAcentral is "partial 16S ribosomal RNA". It matches the Rfam family "Bacterial small subunit ribosomal RNA", at positions 338 to 795 of the family's 1533-position model. Lineage: Bacteria; Pseudomonadati; Pseudomonadota; Gammaproteobacteria; Oceanospirillales; Halomonadaceae. The record is from RNAcentral.